CAGCCGCCGCGGGAAUACGGAGGGGGCUAGCGUUGUUCGGAAUUACUGGGCGUAAAGCGCACGUAGGCGGCUUGGUAAGUUAGAGGUGAAAGCCCGGAGCUCAACUCCGGAAUUGCCUUUAAGACUGCCGAGCUAGUAGGUGAGAGAGGUAAGUGGAAUUCCGAGUGUAGAGGUGAAAUUCGUAGAUAUUCGGAAGAACACCAGUGGCGAGGGCGGCUUACUGGCUCAUUCUAGACGCUGAGGUGCGAAAGCGUGGGGAGCAAACAGGAUUAGAUACCCGCGUAGUCCCUGUCUCUUAUAC
RNAcentral lists this ribosomal RNA (301 nucleotides) under uncultured bacterium. Its description in RNAcentral is "partial 16S ribosomal RNA". It matches the Rfam family "Bacterial small subunit ribosomal RNA", at positions 509 to 807 of the family's 1533-position model. The record is from RNAcentral.